AAUCAUUAUGGCUAACUAGGUAGUUUUCUGCCAAGUCUCACCUGCACCCGCUUAGGCCAAUGCAUUCAGCUGGUGGAUCAGCUGGGGACUGAGCUCAGUCAAGAAACCUGGUUGGCUGAACCUCUCUUUCCAAAUGCAAUUUCAUCCUAUUUUUCUUUAUUGCAUGAUGGUCUCAGGACAGGGUUCUUGGAGGCCAAAGGCAGUGGCUGCGAGGCCUCAUAAGUCCAAGGUUUUGGAAUGCACAUACUGCAUUUGCCACAUUCUAGUGGUCAGAAAAAGUCACAUGGACAGCAUAUAUUGAAGCAGGCAGGGGGAUAAAUUCAGUCUCUUGAUGGAAGGUGUGGCUAUGUCACUUGCAAAGGGGCACGGAUGCAGAAAGGUGUGAUUCAUUGGGGACCUCAUACAGUGAUCUAUCCCAGCUAUGAACAUGUCAUUUAAGAAAAACAGAGAAUAACGGAGGAGAGGUCUCCAUGGAAUGCCAUGCUUUUGGAAAUAAGUUUAAUAUGAAAUUCUAAAGUCAAUAUGAGAAGUAUAUUUUCCAGCAGACACACUAAUAAUCCUGAGAGAAUAAGGCCAUAUUCAGGAAUUUAAAAGGGCACAACAUUUUGCAGAAAUAAUGGAAGGUUGAAGGCUUAACUGCAGUCACAGAAGAGUACAGGGAGGCAGACAAAAUGUUAGAGCCACUCAGCAGCCCAAAGCAGCAGUAGAGGAGCUUGGUGAAGGCUAAGGUAUAGUUGUGGAAUAGAACUAGAGACAUCCUGUUUUCCUGUAUUAUUUCCAGACACUUCAGGGAAAAGAAGACCACAUGGUUUCCUCUCAGCUGAGUAGUUCUUCAGAAAGAGGCAUCAUGAGCAUUCUGUUGGUGCUGUUGCAAAAAAUCUUCAAAGUUCAAACCUUUGGAUUUUGUGGUCCAGAGUUCCAGUCUUUUGUGUUCUUGCCAAUCCUUUAAAUCCCCAUUCAAAUGCAAGGUUGAAAUUAUGUUUUCCUCUACUAUAAUUGCAUGACCUUUUUUUUUUUUUUUGCCAUGAUAACAUUAUUUUAAAAUAGUUUUUAUUCUGUUUGACAUAUACACAUAGGCAAAGACUACUUAUUUCUUUGUAGCAUCUUCUAUCAUAGCACCACAUACAUAUCUGGUGCUCAGUAAAGGUUGUUGUUGUUUUUUUUUUCCAAUUAAUUAGUUCUAGGUUGCCUCUAUUGUCUCAGUUUCAUCAGCAAAAUUGAGGUAGCUGUCCUGCAUCUCACAGGAUGCUAAUAAGUAUAAAAUAAGAUAAAAGCUCUAAGAGUGGAAUGCAAAAGAGUGAAAUGCAAAGUUCAACACAGAACAUGUAACUUGAAGUUGUAUGAAACUUUCCCUGUUAUACAAAACAUAACUAGGGUCCAAAAAUGAGGAUGGAGCCCCCAUAUACUAAAUAAGCAGAACUGGCCCCUCACUAACCACAAUUACCCAAAUCCAUAUAAACAGGAGAAUAGAAAAGAGGAAAAUGGGAAUUAUUGGAGUCAUGAUUUUUGGCUUAGGAGGUACUGCUAUGGCUUGCCCCUGCCCCUCCCCAAAAAGCCAAGUGAGACAGACUCUAAGGGAGUCACUGGCAGUCUGGGGGUAUCUGCAAAAAAGGAAAAUCAGCACCUCACUUUCUAGUUGUACAUCAGAUUAGGUCCUAGACUAGUCAGUCUUCUCAAAGUCUAUGUGAACAGGAGAAAAACAACUUGAGAAUGAUGGCAGGGCACACAGAGAGGCCUGUGGUGCAGCUCAGCUAUCAAUUCUGCUUUGAUGAGAGCAUAUAAGUUUCCGUUAGGCAAAGUGAGCACCACAAAAAAUACCUGCACUUAUGCCAUCAUGCUGACACCAACACAGAAAGCUAACUCGUUGGUGAAAUAACCAGCGACAAGAGUCCAUGGAAUAUAUUAGUAAAUGCAGGGCCUUGUAGGGUUAGAUGAGGUGAAGCAGGACAGUGUGGUUUGGGAAGGCUUUGAAAGGACUUAUAUUUGUAUCUCCUCUAGAAAUCCAGUAUUUCAGUGCCUGCCAUUAAGAGAGCAUUGUCAAUGGACAGUCAUUAUUGGCCCAACAAUUAGUGUAAAACACAGGAAAGAAGACUUCAGUAAUGGUCCAAUGAAUCUUUUGGAUUCCUCCUUGUGUCCGCUCACUGGAAAAGCUAGAAUAUACAAGAGGGAAGAAGAAGCUGAGAAGCAGAGGCAAACUAUUUUGUCCCCAAGGGUGGAUACUGAUGUACUGACAAGCAACUAUCAUCUUUAGCAGACUCUGAGAUGAUUAUCUGCUUUUAUUUGUCACUGAUUUUACUUUCCACAGGGUAUCAAGAUGAGGAAACUACCUAUUAUCUGCUUCAAAUCAUGCAUCACACUGAAUCUUUUGGUGGCAAAGGUAGCAUGGAGGUGGCACAUAGCAUCUGUGGUACAGGUAGGAGAUUGCUAAUCCUUGUUCAAGAUGAUGUCAAUAAGCAAAUAGCCAA
Molecule: long non-coding RNA, 2465 nt
Organism: Sapajus apella (tufted capuchin)
Lineage: Eukaryota; Metazoa; Chordata; Mammalia; Primates; Cebidae
Exons: 2
Source: RefSeq, a predicted model, not a curated record